UACGGGGGGGGCAAGCGUUGUUCGGAAUUACUGGGCGUAAAGGGCUCGUAGGUGGCCAACUAAGUCAGACGUGAAAUCCCUCGGCUUAACCGGGGAACUGCGUCUGAUACUGGAUGGCUUGAGUUUGGGAGAGGGACGCGGAAUUCCAGGUGUAGCGGUGAAAUGCGUAGAUAUCUGGAGGAACACCGGUGGCGAAGGCGGCGGCCUGGACCAACACUGACACUGAGGAGCGAAAGCCAGGGGAGCAAACGGG
RNAcentral lists this ribosomal RNA (253 nucleotides) under uncultured bacterium. RNAcentral describes it as "partial 16S ribosomal RNA". It matches the Rfam family "Bacterial small subunit ribosomal RNA", at positions 524 to 776 of the family's 1533-position model. The record is from RNAcentral.